This 579-nucleotide ribosomal RNA is filed under the name Triticum aestivum (bread wheat). RNAcentral's name for it is "partial small subunit ribosomal RNA". Lineage: Eukaryota; Viridiplantae; Streptophyta; Magnoliopsida; Poales; Poaceae. The record is from RNAcentral.
AUGUAUCGUUUUACUCUGUCGUUUAUUCAGUAUCUUGCUGAGUAUUGUCCUCGGGCGUGUAAUCAUGUUGCUCACUGGUUAGAAGCUAAGAGUGAAAGGGGGUGUCAUGGAUACCAUACUUUGUGGUUGACGACCUACCUUGAUGAUGUAACCUGUCUGACGGCCGGCGAUCUCGCCGUGUCUUUGGAAUACAAAUGUUCCAUCCAUCCAAAAAAAGGAGUAUACAUGACAACUUCACGUGCGUGUGGAACCUUUGCUCGCCGGUUACAUAAGAGGAAGACCCCCUCGCUCGCCUUCAAGCUCAAUAUCCGCAAGGCUUUUGACUCUGUCAAAUGGGAGUACAUCUUAAAUCUUCUCCAAAAGCAUGGAUUUCCAAGCAAAUUUCGCGAUUGCGUUACCACUCUUCUCAGCGCACAAUCCUCACGGAUCCUUCUCAAUGGUGUGGCCGGCCCUCCCAUCAAGAAUGGUCAAGGGGACCCCCUCUCCCCCCUGCUUUUUGUUAUUGCGAUUGACCCCCUGCAACAAAUGCUCGAACUGGCAACUAAGAAGGCAAGAUCCGAGGGAGAUGCAUCAUGGUGA